Non-coding RNA from Mycena galericulata, 89 nucleotides. Lineage: Eukaryota; Fungi; Basidiomycota; Agaricomycetes; Agaricales; Mycenaceae. The record is from the annotation of a GenBank genome assembly.
GCACCGGUGGUGUCCGGGACACACCGCCUUUGAAUAAGAAUUCUGUGGUUGAAUUCGGCGGAGUUGGGGUUCGACUCCCCGCUGGUGCA